Molecule: ribosomal RNA, 430 nt
Filed under: uncultured bacterium
Lineage: Bacteria
Description: bacterial SSU rRNA
Rfam family: Bacterial small subunit ribosomal RNA
Source: RNAcentral
ACGGGAGUAACGGUUUUGAUACUAAUAAACUUGGAGGCUUUCAGAGGUAGCUGGAACUUGCAGUGGAGCGGUGAAAUGCGUUGAUAUUGCAAGGAACACCAAAGGCGUAGGCAGGCUACUGGGAAAGAUCUGACGCUGAUGCACGAAAGCCAGGGGAGCGAAGAGGAUUAGAGACCCUCGUAGUCCUGGCCGUAAACGAUGAAUACUAGAUGACCGGGUUUACCUGGUUGUCGCAAGCUAACGCGUUAAGUGUUCCGCCUGGGAAGUACGGCCGCAAGGCUAAAACUCAAAGGAAUUGACGGGGACCCGCACAAGCGGUGGAGCAUGUGGUUCAAUUCGAAACAAAGCGAAAAACCUUACCAGGGUUUGACAUCCUAACUGCACGCCCCUAGAAACAGGGGUUUCUUCGAGAGUGUUAGGACAGGUGCUG